UUCGCCCUUCGGUUGAUCCUGCCGGACCCCACUGCUAUCGAGGUGGGACUAAGCCAUGCUAGUCGAACGCACAGAACUAUGUCUGUGAGUGGCAUACUGCUCAGUAACACGUAGUUAACCUACCCUUCGGACGUGGACAACCCCGAGAAAUUGGGGCUAAUCCGCGAUAGAUGUGAUGUCCUGGAAUGGUAUUACGUCUAAAGGUAUCUCAUACAUGUUUGAUAUACGCCUAAGGAUGGGACUGCGGCUGAUCAGGCAGUUGGUGAGGUAAUGGCUCACCAAACCAUUGACCAGUACGGGCCAUGAGAGUGGUAGCCCGGAGAUGGACACUGAGACAAGGGUCCGGGCCCUACGGGGCGCAGCAGGCGCGAAACCUCCUCAAUGCACUAACGUGCGAAGGGGUUACCUCGAGUGCUAUCUGAUGAAGGUGGCUUUUCCUUGGUCUAAAAAGCCUAGGGAAUAAGAGGGGGGCAAGACUGGUGUCAGCCGCCGCGGUAACACCAGCCCCUCGAGUGGUGGGGAUGAUUAUUUGGCCUAAAGCGUCCGUAGCCUGCCGGAUAAGUUUCCCGUUAAAUCCAACGUCUCAAGCGUUGGUCUGCGGGAAAUACUGUCUGGCUAGAGAGUGGGAAAGGUUAGCGGUAUUCUGGGGGUAGGGGCGAAAUCCUUUGA
This 669-nucleotide ribosomal RNA is filed under the name uncultured archaeon. RNAcentral's name for it is "bacterial SSU rRNA". It matches the Rfam family "Archaeal small subunit ribosomal RNA", at positions 1 to 645 of the family's 1478-position model. The record is from RNAcentral.